GACGAACGCUGGCGGCGUGCCUAAUACAUGCAAGUAGAACGCACAGUUUAUACCGUAGCUUGCUACACCAUAAACUGUGAGUUGCGAACGGGUGAGUAACGCGUAGGUAACCUGCCUGGUAGCGGGGGAUAACUAUUGUAAACGAUAGCUAAUACCGCAUAAUAUUGAUUAUUGCAUGAUAAUUGAUUGAAAGAUGCUAUUGCAUCACUACCAGAUGGACCUGCGUUGUAUUAGCUAGUAGGUGAGGUAACGGCUCACCUAGGCGACGAUACAUAGCCGACCUGAGAGGGUGAUCGGCCACACUGGGACUGAGACACGGCCCAGACUCCUACGGGAGGCAGCAGUAGGGAAUCUUCGGCAAUGGACGAAAGUCUGACCGAGCAACGCCGCGUGAGUGAAGAAGGUUUUCGGAUCGUAAAGCUCUGUUGUAAGAGAAGAACGGGUGUGAGAGUGGAAAGUUCACACUGUGACGGUAUCUUACCAGAAAGGGACGGCUAACUACGU
Molecule: ribosomal RNA, 504 nt
Filed under: uncultured bacterium
Lineage: Bacteria
Description: partial 16S ribosomal RNA
Rfam family: Bacterial small subunit ribosomal RNA
Source: RNAcentral